This is a small nucleolar RNA of Echinops telfairi (small Madagascar hedgehog), 125 nucleotides long. Lineage: Eukaryota; Metazoa; Chordata; Mammalia; Afrosoricida; Tenrecidae. The record is from Ensembl.
UGGUCAUUACCAAGGCUUUUAGAAUGCAGUUUCUGAUUUACUGUGGACAUGAUCAUAAAACACUUACCGUAAAAAGUUUUUGUCUUUUUGCUAUCUUGCAAACAUACAACCAACUGGGGUCAUCA